GAUGAACGCUAGCGGGAGGCCUAACACAUGCAAGCCGAGCGGUAGAGAUUCUUCGGAAUCUUGAGAGCGGCGUACGGGUGCGGAACACGUGUGCAACCUACCUUUAUCAGGGGGAUAGCCUUUCGAAAGGAAGAUUAAUACCCCAUAAUAUAUUGAAUGGCAUCAUUUGAUAUUGAAAACUCCGGUGGAUAGAGAUGGGCACGCGCAAGAUUAGAUAGUUGGUAGGGUAACGGCCUACCAAGUCAAUGAUCUUUAGGGGGCCUGAGAGGGUGAUCCCCCACACUGGUACUGAGACACGGACCAGACUCCUACGGGAGGCAGCAGUGAGGAAUAUUGGACAAUGGGUGAAAGCCUGAUCCAGCCAUCCCGCGUGAAGGACGACGGCCCUAUGGGUUGUAAACUUCUUUUGUAUAGGGAUAAACCUUUCCACGUGUGGAAAGCUGAAGGUACUAUACGAAUAAGCACCGGCUAACUCCGUGCCAGCAGCCGCGGUAAUACGGAGGGUGCAAGCGUUAUCCGGAUUUAUUGGGUUUAAAGGGUCCGUAGGCGGAUCUGUAAGUCAGUGGUGAAAUCUCAUAGCUUAACUAUGAAACUGCCAUUGAUACUGCAGGUCUUGAGUAAAGUAGAAGUGGCUGGAAUAAGUAGUGUAGCGGUGAAAUGCAUAGAUAUUACUUAGAACACCAAUUGCGAAGGCAGGUCACUAUGUUUUAACUGACGCUGAUGGACGAAAGCGUGGGGAGCGAACAGGAUUAGAUACCCUGGUAGUCCACGCCGUAAACGAUGCUAACUCGUUUUUGGGACUUCGGUUUCAGAGACUAAGCGAAAGUGAUAAGUUAGCCACCUGGGGAGUACGUUCGCGAGAAUGAAACUCAAAGGAAUUGACGGGGGCCCGCACAAGCGGUGGAUUAUGUGGUUUAAUUCGAUGAUACGCGAGGAACCUUACCAAGACUUAAAUGGGAAAUGACAGGUUUAGAAAUAGAUCCUUCUUCGGACAUUUUUCAAGGUGCUGCAUGGUUGUCGUCAGCUCGUGCCGUGAGGUGUUAGGUUAAGUCCUGCAACGAGCGCAACCCCUGUCACUAGUUGCUAACAUUCAGUUGGGGACUCUAGUGAGACUGCCUACGCAAGUAGAGAGGAAGGUGGGGAUGACGUCAAAUCAUCACGGCCCUUACGUCUUGGGCCACACACGUAAUACAAUGGCCGGUACAGAGGGCAGCUACACAGCGAUGUGAUGCGAAUCUCGAAAGCCGGUCUCAGUUCGGAUUGGAGUCUGCAACUCGACUCUAUGAAGCUGGAAUCGCUAGUAAUCGCGCAUCAGCCAUGGCGCGGUGAAUACGUUCCCGGGCCU
This 1345-nucleotide ribosomal RNA is filed under the name uncultured bacterium. RNAcentral's name for it is "bacterial SSU rRNA". It matches the Rfam family "Bacterial small subunit ribosomal RNA", at positions 28 to 1381 of the family's 1533-position model. The record is from RNAcentral.